Molecule: non-coding RNA, 94 nt
Organism: Callorhinus ursinus (northern fur seal)
Lineage: Eukaryota; Metazoa; Chordata; Mammalia; Carnivora; Otariidae
Source: RefSeq, a predicted model, not a curated record
UCAUGUGUUGAGGAGUGAGACCCAGCAGCUUCUCUCUGGAGAUGUGCGUGCUGAUGGGGAUGGAGCUUCACGCGUGUGACCCGGUUCUCUGCCG